GGGGAAUUUUCCGCAAUGGGCGAAAGCCUGACGGAGCAAUACCGCGUGAGGGAGGAAGGCUCUUGGGUUGUAAACCUCUUUUCUCAAGGAAGAAAAAAAUGACGGUACUUGAGGAAUAAGCAUCGGCUAACUCCGUGCCAGCAGCCGCGGUAAUACGGAGGAUGCAAGCGUUAUCCGGAAUGAUUGGGCGUAAAGCGUCCGCAGGUGGCUAUGUAAGUCUGCUGUUAAGGAGUCUGGCUCAACCAGAUAAAGGCAGUGGAAACUACAUGGCUAGAGUGCGUUCGGGGCAGAGGGAAUUCCUGGUGUAGCGGUGAAAUGCGUAGAGAUCAGGAAGAACACCGGUGGCGAAAGCGCUCUGCUAGGCCGCAACUGACACUGAGGGACGAAAGCUAGGGGAGCGAAUGGGAUUAGAUACCCCAGUAGUCCUAGCCGUAAACGAUGGAUACUAGGCGUGGCUUGUAUCGACCCGAGCCGUGCCGUAGCUAACGCGUUAAGUAUCCCGCCUGGGGAGCACGCAGGCAACUGUGAAACUCAAAGGAAUUGACGGGGGCCCGCACAAGCGGUGGAGUAUGUGGUUUAAUUCGACGCAACGCGAAGAACCUUACCAGGACUUGACAUGUCGCGAAUUUCUGUGAAAGCAGAAAGUGCCUUCGGGAGCGCGAACACAGGUGGUGCAUGGCUGUCGUCAGCUCGUGUCGUGAGAUGUUGGGUUAAGUCCCGCAACGAGCGCAACCCUCGUUUUUAGUUGCCAGCAUUAAGUUGGGCACUCUAGAGAGACUGCCGGUGACAAACCGGAGGAAGGUGGGGAUGACGUCAAGUCAGCAUGCCCCUUACGUUCUGGGCUACACACGUACUACAAUGCUACGGACAAAGGGCAGCAAGCAUGCGAAUGCAAGCUAAUCUCAUAAACCGUGGCUCAGUUCAGAUCGCAGGCUGCAACUCGCCUGCGUGAAGGAGGAAUCGCUAGUAAUUGCAGGUCAGCAUACUGCAGUGAAUUCGUUCCCGGGCCUUGUACACACCGCCCGUCACACCAUGGAAGCUGGUAGUGCCCGAAGUCAUUACCCCAACCGCUUGCGGAGGGGGAUGCCUAAGGCAGGACUGGUGACUGGGGUGAAGUCGUAACAAGGUAGCCGUACCGGAAGGUGUGGCUGGAUCACCUCCU
This 1162-nucleotide ribosomal RNA is filed under the name Spirirestis rafaelensis CM1-HA09. RNAcentral describes it as "bacterial SSU rRNA". It matches the Rfam family "Bacterial small subunit ribosomal RNA", at positions 356 to 1531 of the family's 1533-position model. Lineage: Bacteria; Bacillati; Cyanobacteriota; Cyanophyceae; Nostocales; Tolypothrichaceae. The record is from RNAcentral.